GAUGAAGAACGUAGCGAAAUGCGAUAAGUAAUGUGAAUUGCAGAAUUCAGUGAAUCAUCGAAUCUUUGAACGCACCUUGCACCCUUUGGCAUUCCGAAGGGUAUGCUCGUUUGAGUGUCAUUGUACUCUCACACUUCCAACCUUUGGAUUGGGAGCAGUGGACUUGGGUGUUGCUGCUUACUGUGGCUCACCUCAAAUCGAUUCGUGCACCUCUUGGUUGGACAUAGUACGGCGUGAUAAGUGUCUUCGCCGGCACCUCAGUAGAGGGUGGCUGAUCAGGAGCUCUGUGCUUCAAACCGUCCUCGGACAACAACUGACAACUUGACCUCAAAUCGAGUAGGACUACCCGCUGAACUUAAGCAUAUCAAUAAGCGGAGGA
This 379-nucleotide unclassified non-coding RNA is filed under the name soil metagenome. RNAcentral's name for it is "partial contains 5.8S ribosomal RNA, internal transcribed spacer 2, and large subunit ribosomal RNA". The stretch from base 1 to 120 matches the Rfam family "5.8S ribosomal RNA", at positions 35 to 154 of the family's 154-position model. The record is from RNAcentral.